UACGUAGGGUGCGAGCGUUAAUCGGAAUUACUGGGCGUAAAGCGUGCGCAGGCGGUUCGCUGUGUCCGAUGUGAAAGCCCCGGGCUUAACCUGGGAAUGGCAUUGGAAACUGGCGGGCUUGAGUGCGGCAGAGGGGGGUGGAAUUCCCAGUGUAGAGGUGAAAUUCGUAGAUAUUGGGAAGAACACCGGUGGCGAAGGCGGCGACCUGGUCCGUGACUGACGCUGAGGCGCGAAAGCGUGGGGAGCAAACAGG
Molecule: ribosomal RNA, 253 nt
Filed under: uncultured bacterium
Lineage: Bacteria
Description: partial 16S ribosomal RNA
Rfam family: Bacterial small subunit ribosomal RNA
Source: RNAcentral